AUUGAACGCUGGCGGCAGGCCUAACACAUGCAAGUCGAGCGGAUGAAGGGAGCUUGCUCCUGGAUUCAGCGGCGGACGGGUGAGUAAUGCCUAGGAAUCUGCCUGGUAGUGGGGGAUAACGUCCGGAAACGGGUGCUAAUACCGCAUACGUCCUGAGGGAGAAAGUGGGGGAUCUUCGGACCUCACGCUAUCAGAUGAGCCUAGGUCGGAUUAGCUAGUUGGUGGGGUAAAGGCCUACCAAGGCGACGAUCCGUAACUGGUCUGAGAGGAUGAUCAGUCACACUGGAACUGAGACACGGUCCAGACUCCUACGGGAGGCAGCAGUGGGGAAUAUUGGACAAUGGGCGAAAGCCUGAUCCAGCUAUGCCGCGUGUGUGAAGAAGGUCUUCGGAUUGUAAAGCACUUUAAGUUGGGAGGAAGGGCAGUAAGUUAAUACCUUGCUGUUUUGACGUUACCAACAGAAUAAGCACCGGCUAACUUCGUG
RNAcentral lists this ribosomal RNA (484 nucleotides) under uncultured bacterium. Its description in RNAcentral is "partial 16S ribosomal RNA". It matches the Rfam family "Bacterial small subunit ribosomal RNA", at positions 30 to 507 of the family's 1533-position model. The record is from RNAcentral.